CAGUCGCCGCGGGAAUACGUAGGGUGCGAGCGUUGUCCGGAAUUACUGGGCGUAAAGGGCUCGUAGGUGGUUUGUCGCGUCGUCUGUGAAAUUCUGGGGCUUAACUCCGGGCGUGCAGGCGAUACGGGCAUAACUUGAGUGCUGUAGGGGUAACUGGAAUUCCUGGUGUAGCGGUGAAAUGCGCAGAUAUCAGGAGGAACACCGAUGGCGAAGGCAGGUUACUGGGCAGUUACUGACGCUGAGGAGCGAAAGCAUGGGUAGCGAACAGGAUUAGAGACCCCAGUAGUCCCUGUCUCUUAUA
This 301-nucleotide ribosomal RNA is filed under the name uncultured bacterium. RNAcentral describes it as "partial 16S ribosomal RNA". It matches the Rfam family "Bacterial small subunit ribosomal RNA", at positions 509 to 808 of the family's 1533-position model. The record is from RNAcentral.